GUGAAGGCCAGGCUGAAGACUUUGCCGGAUUAGCUGAGAGGUGGUGCAUGGCCGUCGUCAGUUCGUACUGUGAAGCAUCCUGUUAAGUCAGGCAACGAGCGAGACCCACGCCCACAGUUGCCAGCGUACUCUCUGGAGUGACGGGUACACUGUGGGACCGCCGCUGCUAAAGCGGAGGAAGGAAUGGGCAACGGUAGGUCAGUAUGCCCCGAAUAUCCCGGGCUACACGCGAGCUACAAUGGUUGGUACAAUGGGUAUCUACCCCGAAAGGGGACGGGAAUCUCCUAAAACCAAUCUUAGUUCGGAUUGAGGGCUGCAACUCGCCCUCAUGAAGCUGGAAUCCGUAGUAAUCGCGUUUCAACAGAACGCGGUGAAUACGUCCCUACUCCUU
RNAcentral lists this ribosomal RNA (391 nucleotides) under uncultured Methanosaeta sp. RNAcentral's name for it is "bacterial SSU rRNA". It matches the Rfam family "Archaeal small subunit ribosomal RNA", at positions 947 to 1338 of the family's 1478-position model. The record is from RNAcentral. Lineage: Archaea; Methanobacteriati; Methanobacteriota; Methanomicrobia; Methanotrichales; Methanotrichaceae.